AUCACUGAGGUGCUACUUCCUGUAGGCCACUAAAUCUCCUGUGUUACAAGUAUAAUGUAUUAAUUUUAUCAUUAAAGACUAUCUCCCCUACGCCCUCUUCACAGACACUAAAUGCAUUGAACUUAAGCAAACUCCACUUAGUGUGCAUUUCUUCUAUGUUGAAAACAGGUUAUGAUGUAAGGAAGCAUGAAAUUAAUGAGGGCAGAGAGGUGAAACUGCUUCCAGAUUGGCUUCCAUCCAAUGCUUGAGGCAUCUUGGAGAUUGUCAAUGAUCUACAUAACUUUCCUAUGUAUACAAUAGGAAGAGUUAAUUCAAGACCAGUGCAUAUGAUGCAGGAGGUGGGGCAAAUGAAGAGCUGUGGCAGGAGAGGAGGGCAGGUAGUUGGAGGCAAGUCCACAGGUACCACAGGUAAAUCAGAUGGCCCAGGAAAGCUUUCCUAAUCUAUGGUUUUGAUUUGCCUACACCAUUGCCAUGUGGCCCAUGUAAUGAUGGGAAGAUGUGUGGGAUAAAGGGGAAAGAGGGAGACAGUUAUCAUCUGUACCUGCUCGUGGCUCCUAGAGAAGAUCCUUUCUUUCUUCCUAUUCUAGACAAGAUGUCCAUGAAAAUGUUUAUGGUUUGGGUUGAAUUAUUUUAAAUUUGCUGGAAAAGGCCAUUAAACACUAAAUUUAGGGCUUUCCAAAAUGUUGGACACUGAGAAAUAAAAAAGCUUUAUUAAGGAAUAACAUCUUUGAAAAAAAAAAAGGAAGGAAUGGGAGUAUGAAGGAGAGUCUAGAGUGUGUUUCCAAACUGGCAAAGUGUCUGCCAGCCAAAUGGGGGAAUUUGGAGGGAAAAUUGCCUGCUCUAGGCAUCCUGCAUUGGGUGGAAAUGCCUAGUUCUUUUACAAGGGGUCUUGCUUAGUCAUUGGUUUGUGGCUGCCCCUGAAAUAGUGUGCCUUUGAAAGUGGAGGCAGACCAGGAGGGUGCUCAUAGCUGGAGGCUGUUAGGUAACCACAUUCUCUCCAGCUGGGCUGUGAGCUCUUUCUUGAAA
This 1026-nucleotide long non-coding RNA is filed under the name Callithrix jacchus (white-tufted-ear marmoset). RNAcentral describes it as "lncRNA (ENSCJAG00000078668.1)". Lineage: Eukaryota; Metazoa; Chordata; Mammalia; Primates; Cebidae. The record is from RNAcentral.